Molecule: ribosomal RNA, 150 nt
Filed under: uncultured bacterium
Lineage: Bacteria
Description: partial 16S ribosomal RNA
Rfam family: Bacterial small subunit ribosomal RNA
Source: RNAcentral
ACAAUGUGGCGAAAGCCUGAUCCAGCAAUGCCGCGUGAGUGAUGAAGGCCUUCGGGUUGUAAACCUCUUUUUCCCGGGACGAUAAUGACAGUACCGGGAGAAUAAGCUCCGGCUAACUCCGUGCCAGCACCCCCGGUAUAUAUUUAUUCC